GCGACUGAAAGAAAGAACUGAGC
This 23-nucleotide non-coding RNA is filed under the name Cricetulus griseus (Chinese hamster). The record is from RNAcentral. Lineage: Eukaryota; Metazoa; Chordata; Mammalia; Rodentia; Cricetidae.